This 856-nucleotide ribosomal RNA is filed under the name uncultured Gammaproteobacteria bacterium. Its description in RNAcentral is "bacterial SSU rRNA". It matches the Rfam family "Bacterial small subunit ribosomal RNA", at positions 47 to 896 of the family's 1533-position model. Lineage: Bacteria; Pseudomonadati; Pseudomonadota; Gammaproteobacteria. The record is from RNAcentral.
UGUGAGUCGUAUUAGUCGAGCGGUAACAGGUGUAGCAAUACAUGCUGACGAGCGGCGGACGGGUGAGUAACGCUUGGGAAUCUGCCUGUUAGUGGGGGACAACCCGGGGAAACUCGGGCUAAUACCGCAUACGCACUACGGUGGAAAGCCGGGGACCGCAAGGCCUGGCGCUAACAGAUGAGCCCAAGUCGGAUUAGCUAGUUGGUAGGGUAACGGCCUACCAAGGCGACGAUCCGUAACUGGUCUGAGAGGACGACCAGUCACACCGGAACUGAGACACGGUCCGGACUCCUACGGGAGGCAGCAGUGGGGAAUAUUGGACAAUGGGCGAAAGCCUGAUCCAGCGACGCCGCGUGGGUGAAGAAGGCCUGCGGGUUGUAAAGCCCUUUCGGUGGGGAAGAAAAGCCUCGAGCUAAUACCUCGGGGUCUUGACGUAACCCAUAGAAGAAGCACCGGCUAACUCUGUGCCAGCAGCCGCGGUAAUACAGAGGGUGCGAGCGUUAGUCGGAAUUACUGGGCGUAAAGCGCGCGUAGGCGGCUUUGCAAGUCGGGUGUGAAAUCCCCAGGCUUAACCUGGGAACUGCAUUCGAGACUGCAUUGCUAGAGUAUGGGAGAGGGAAGUGGAAUUUCCGGUGUAGCGGUGAAAUGCGUAGAUAUCGGAAGGAACAUCAGUGGCGAAAGCGACUUCCUGGACCAAUACUGACGCUCAUGUGCGAAAGCGUGGGGAGCAAACAGGAUUAGAUACCCUGGUAGUCCACGCCAUAAACGAUGAGAACUGGAUGUCGGGAGGGUCUGCCUCUCGGUGUCGUAGCUAACGCGUUAAGUUCUCCGCCUGGGGAGUACGGCCGCAAGGUUG